AAUCUGAUUAAUACGCAAUUGUUACUCCAUGUAACCUCUUUGUGCUGAAGCUGUGGCAUGCACACUAGGUGGAAUUAUCUAUCCCCCGUGCAUCCAGCACUGCAAUAAAGAAUGCCUGCUUUCUAAAGCUCCAAAACAAGUCUUAGACAGUUUCUUCAACUAGCUUUUCGGUAUCAGGCUUAUUUUGAUUUCUUGGGGGUGUUUUGUUUUUUGUUUUGGUUUUGGGUUUUUUUAAAAUUUAUUUCUUGGGGAGUGUGACAGAUGCACUCAAUUCCUUAACCAAACUAGUGGUAGUUUGUUACAGGUUCCAAAGGAGGUAAAGGCCUGAGCCAGAAAUGGGCAAAGAACUUCCCUAUUUCCAGUCUGUUCUCUGAAAACCAACAAAGGAGCAGAGCGAUGCAGUGAGCAUGGAACGCCGAUCAUGCGAUGAACACAUGAACAGCAGGUGGCUUUCCAAGACUCAUUUACCAAAGAACAAAAGUUGUGAGUACAAGGAAUCUCAUGCAUACCUUUCCCAUUGCAUGUAAUUUGACUACAAGCCAAACACUUUAUUCCAUAAAUAUGACAGCCUAAACCGAGCCUUCUCUGAGCUCUCCCAGCUAAGCAGCGUGGCUGCAUGGCGGUGAUCUCCCCUUGAGGUGGGACACCUUGUCAAGGUUGCUCCUUGAGGCAGAGAGACCUUUCACCAACGGCAGAUCUUUGACCCUGCCGUGCACGUCGGUGAUCGGAUCUGCUGAGGACUACACUAAGAGGGAUCCUUCCUCACCUGGAGAGGCAGGCUGUCUCCUGUCUGCAGCUGCUGGCUGGACCCCCUUUAUUUUAUUCUUCAGCAGCUUUACCUUUCUCUGGCCCCUCCAGCUUCAGCCGCAGCAGCUCCUGUCCACAGCCAGUAAGUGCUCCGCCUGUCCCUUUUUGCUCCCACGCCAGGAGGAGUGCGAGGCCAGGCAGAGACAGCCCACGCAAGCCUGAGGCGGGCACAGUCAGCGGCAUCCCCAUGGGAGGAAUGGACAACCGCAUCCUCAGCGCGGCCUGUGGAA
Long non-coding RNA from Aquila chrysaetos chrysaetos, 1037 nucleotides. RefSeq lists it as uncharacterized. The transcript is spliced from 2 exons. The record is from RefSeq and is a predicted model, not a curated record. NCBI's taxonomy places the organism in Eukaryota, Metazoa, Chordata, Aves, Accipitriformes, Accipitridae.